CAAGUCGAACGGACAAUUAUUUAUAGCUUUUGGCUAUAGGCAAUUGUUAGUGGCAGACGGGUGAGUAAUGCGUAGGAAUCUACCUAGUAGUACGGAAUAGCCAUUAGAAAUGAUGGGUAAUACUGUAUAAUCCCCGCGGGGGAAAGAUUUAUCGCUAUUAGAUGAGCCUACGUUAGAUUAGCUAGUUGGUAAGGUAAUGGCUUACCAAGGCUAUGAUCUAUAGCUGGUCUGAGAGGACGAUCAGCCACACUGGAACUGAGAUACGGUCCAGACUCCUACGGGAGGCAGCAGUGGGGAAUAUUGGACAAUGGGCGAAAGCCUGAUCCAGCUAUGCCGCGUGAGUGAAGAAGGCCUUCGGGUUGUAAAACUCUUUCAAUAGGGAAGAUAAUGACGGUACCUAUAGAAGAAGUCCCGGCAAACUCUGUGCCAGCAGCCGCGGUAAUACGGAGGGGGCAAGCGUUGUUCGGAAUUAUUGGGCGUAAAGGGCACGUAGGUGGACUAGUAAGUUAAAAGUGAAAUACCAAAGCUUAACUUUGGAGCGGCUUUUAAUACUGCUAGACUAGAG
RNAcentral lists this ribosomal RNA (565 nucleotides) under uncultured Ehrlichia sp. RNAcentral's name for it is "bacterial SSU rRNA". It matches the Rfam family "Bacterial small subunit ribosomal RNA", at positions 58 to 646 of the family's 1533-position model. Lineage: Bacteria; Pseudomonadati; Pseudomonadota; Alphaproteobacteria; Rickettsiales; Anaplasmataceae. The record is from RNAcentral.